UACGUAGGGUGCAAGCGUUAAUCGGAAUUACUGGGCGUAAAGCGCGCGCAGGCGGUUUUGUAAGUCUGAUGUGAAAUCCCCGGGCUCAACCUGGGAAUUGCAUUGGAGACUGCAAGGCUAGAAUCUGGCAGAGGGGGGUAGAAUUCCACGUGUAGCAGUGAAGUGCGUAGAGAUGUGGAGGAACACCGAUGGCGAAGGCAGCCCCCUGGGUCAAGAUUGACGCUCAUGCACGAAAGCGUGGGGAGCAAACAGG
RNAcentral lists this ribosomal RNA (253 nucleotides) under uncultured bacterium. Its description in RNAcentral is "partial 16S ribosomal RNA". It matches the Rfam family "Bacterial small subunit ribosomal RNA", at positions 524 to 776 of the family's 1533-position model. The record is from RNAcentral.